GCCAGAGUAGCUCAGUUGGUAGAGCAACUCACUUGUAAUGAGUAGGUCGGGGGUUCGAAUCCUCUCUCUGGCUCCA
This 76-nucleotide transfer RNA is filed under the name Candidatus Kaiserbacteria bacterium. Its description in RNAcentral is "tRNA-Thr". It matches the Rfam family "tRNA". Rfam says of the family: Transfer RNA (tRNA) molecules are approximately 80 nucleotides in length. Their secondary structure includes four short double-helical elements and three loops (D, anti-codon, and T loops). The record is from RNAcentral. Lineage: Bacteria; Candidatus Kaiseribacteriota.